This 424-nucleotide ribosomal RNA is filed under the name uncultured Flavobacteriaceae bacterium. RNAcentral's name for it is "bacterial SSU rRNA". It matches the Rfam family "Bacterial small subunit ribosomal RNA", at positions 355 to 776 of the family's 1533-position model. Lineage: Bacteria; Pseudomonadati; Bacteroidota; Flavobacteriia; Flavobacteriales; Flavobacteriaceae. The record is from RNAcentral.
UGAGGAAUAUUGGACAAUGGGUGGAAGCCUGAUCCAGCCAUCCCGCGUGAAGGAAGACGGUUCUAUGGAUUGUAAACUUCUUUUAUAUGGGGAUAAACCUACCCUCGUGAGGGUAGCUGAAGGUACCAUAUGAAUAAGCACCGGCUAACUCCGUGCCAGCAGCCGCGGUAAUACGGAGGGUGCAAGCGUUAUCCGGAUUUAUUGGGUUUAAAGGGUCCGUAGGUGGGUUGGUAAGUCAGUGGUGAAAUCCUGCAGCUUAACUGUAGAAUUGCCAUUGAUACUGCUAGUCUUGAGUGUAUUUGAAGUAGCUGGAAUAAGUAGUGUAGCGGUGAAAUGCAUAGAUAUUACUUAGAACACCAAUUGCGAAGGCAGGUUACUAAGAUACAACUGACGCUGAUGGACGAAAGCGUGGGGAGCGAACAGG